AGCAUAGAAGAAGAGAGGAGGAGAAGACGAGAAGAAAAAAAAAGUAAAAAAAAAAAAAUAAUAAUAACACAAAGCUCUCUCUGUGUCAAUGGUUGAUUUAUGGAAAUCUCUCAUUUAACAGAAAAGGAAUUCCUUUGAAGGGUCUUUGUUAUAAGGUGAGAUGCGAUCUUUUUUGUUGAUUGUCCGGACUUAAUCUGGACCUUGGAUUUGAUCGUUGACGAGAAAGAGAUAGAGCAAGAGUCAGAAG
This 247-nucleotide unclassified non-coding RNA is filed under the name Hevea brasiliensis (rubber tree). Lineage: Eukaryota; Viridiplantae; Streptophyta; Magnoliopsida; Malpighiales; Euphorbiaceae. The record is from RNAcentral.